AGCUGUUGUGGCACCCCGUCCAUCCCGAAAGCUCCAGCAUUCCAUUUCAAGGCUCUCCUGCUGGCCCCCCUCCCACCAUCAUUCCUCUGAGAGAAUGUGGCCUUGAGAUCAAGGGAUGGAGAGGGGCCAGCUACAGCCACCUGACACCAAGCCUCAUCAACCUCGCCUAUCUCUUUCCCCUCUCUGUCCUCACUGUGGGGUCAAGAGGUGGGUCACUCCUUCCCUUUGUCCGAGUUGGCCAAGACAGCUACCCUGAGAGAAAGAAGGAAGCUUCAAAUACAGACAUGGGGGCUCCUCCCCUAGGCCCACCUUGGGACAGGAGGCACAAUAGGGCAGACCACACCAAAACCCCAGAAAGAGCCUUGAAUUCAUCUCACUCCCAGCUCCCCUUCCACUUGUCCUUCUCAUAUGCUGAGCCCUACUGAGGACAAUCGCCUGGCCCGGAAGAUGGCGUCACCGCAGAUUUAUGGCACCCCCAGAAAUGCACAGAGGAGAGCAGAGCAGGGAUGUAAGAUCAUGCCACGUUCCUCCACCGCUGGGGAAGGCAGCAGUGCUAGUGCUGGAGACGGAGAAUACAGCGUUUGAUCGCUCUCUACAGCAAACACAAAAGACGGGACUUGUAGAGACAGAAGAAGUCAGGUAAAUCUCCUGCUGUCCCACAGCUAAUGACAGAAAAGUGGGGACUCGAAACCAGAUACGCCUGAUGCCGACGCCUACGUGGGUCUGCUGUGCCGCGCUGCCCGACGCGAGGCCUGGUCUCUGUCUGCGGCUGUCACCACUCGUCUCUCACUGUGAUCGGGGCUUCAGCGCAGCAUUAAACACCACCACCUCCUCACUCCUCGGUUGUCCUGGUCUUAUGUAUCCCACGCAGCUUCCCGCUGGUAACCGCCAGUUCCUUGGGCCUAAGAUGAUUUUGCUUUAAUUGUUCCUGGAUGGAACACAGACUCUGACGUCCCCAUCUGACUUCCUGAUGAGGGGGUACCUGACACUUGGCUGUGAGCCGGAUGCCACAGGAAGUCACCCUUCUCAAGAGAAGACAGGUAUCUCCAAGGUUGUGGCAAGGGCCGUGGUGACAAAACGGUGAGAGGGCUCCUCGAUGGUGUUGCCCAGGCCUUGGUGAGAACGUCAUUCCAGGGGCCCCUGGGUGGCUCGGUCGGUUGGGCGUCUGCCUGUGGCUCAGGUCGUGAUCCAGGGGU
This is a long non-coding RNA of Canis lupus familiaris (dog), 1196 nucleotides long. RefSeq lists it as uncharacterized. The transcript has 3 exons. Lineage: Eukaryota; Metazoa; Chordata; Mammalia; Carnivora; Canidae. The record is from RefSeq and is a predicted model, not a curated record.